This is a non-coding RNA of Phrynosoma platyrhinos (Desert horned lizard), 72 nucleotides long. Lineage: Eukaryota; Metazoa; Chordata; Lepidosauria; Squamata; Phrynosomatidae. The record is from the annotation of a GenBank genome assembly.
GCCAGCGUGGCAUAGUGGUUUGAGUGCUGUACUGCAAUUAUGGAGACCAGAGUUUGAUUCUUUGCUCAGCCU